This 495-nucleotide ribosomal RNA is filed under the name uncultured bacterium. RNAcentral describes it as "bacterial SSU rRNA". It matches the Rfam family "Bacterial small subunit ribosomal RNA", at positions 27 to 507 of the family's 1533-position model. The record is from RNAcentral.
CGGACGAACGCUGGCGGCGUGCCUAACACAUGCAAGUCGAACGGUCCGGCACUCAGCCGACCCUCAGUCUAACUGUAGGGGAAGUUGAGUGCCGGGUAGUGGCGGACGGGUGAGUAACGCGUGGGCAACCAACCCUGUACAGUGGGAUAACACCGGGAAACCGGUGCUAAUACCGCAUGACACCUAUAUGGUGCAUACCGUAUAGGUUAAAGGAUUUAACCGGUACAGGACGGGCCCGCGUCCCAUUAGCUAGUUGGUGAGGUAACGGCCCACCAAGGCGACGAUGGGUAGCCGACCUGAGAGGGUGACCGGCCACACUGGGACUGAGACACGGCCCAGACUCCUACGGGAGGCAGCAGUGGGGAAUAUUGCGCAAUGGGGGGAACCCUGACGCAGCGACGCCGCGUGAGCGACGAAGGCCUUCGGGUCGUAAAGCUCUGUCUAGGGGGAAGAGGAAGGACGGUACCUCUGGAGGAAGCCACGGCUAACUACGUG